CUACGGGAUGCUCCAGUGGGGAAUAUUGCACAAUGGGGGAAACCCUGAUGCAGCAACGCCGCGUGGAGGAUGACGCAUUUCGGUGUGUAAACUCCUUUUAUAUAGGAAGAUAAUGACGGUACUAUAUGAAUAAGCACCGGCUAACUCCGUGCCAGCAGCCGCGGUAAUACGGAGGGGUGCAAGCGUUACUCGGAAUCACUGGGCGUAAAGCGCGCGCAGGCGGCCUUUUAAGUUGGAUGUGAAAGCCUAUGGCUUAACCAUAGAACUGCAUCCAAAACUAUCAGGCUAGAGUCUGGGAGGGGAAGAUGGAAUUAGUUGUGUAGGGGUAAAAUCCGUAGAGAUAACUAGGAAUACCAAAAGCGAAGGCGAUCUUCUGGAACAGUACUGACGCUGAGGCGCGAAAGCGUGGGGAGCAAACAGGAUUAGAUACCCUUGUAGUC
This 440-nucleotide ribosomal RNA is filed under the name uncultured bacterium. RNAcentral describes it as "partial 16S ribosomal RNA". It matches the Rfam family "Bacterial small subunit ribosomal RNA", at positions 339 to 795 of the family's 1533-position model. The record is from RNAcentral.